CAAGCCAUGACAAGGGCCACUACCUUGCUCCACUCCCGGGCAAGUCACGACAACGGACACCACUCCACUCUUCAUAACAAAUUCCAUGUGGCGAAUGACCCCUGACGCCACUACUCUCCAUAACAAACUCUGCACGACUCUGAAUGGCCCACUACCAAGCAGUUACAGACGUCGCUGUCAAUCAGUUACGCUCUCCGUCUAUAAAAAUGACCCUC
Molecule: long non-coding RNA, 215 nt
Filed under: Elaeis guineensis (African oil palm)
Lineage: Eukaryota; Viridiplantae; Streptophyta; Magnoliopsida; Arecales; Arecaceae
Description: long non-coding RNA (EGUI_LNC081476)
Source: RNAcentral